GACGAACGCUGGCGGCGUGCCUAAUACAUGCAAGUAGAACGCACAGGAUGCACCGUAGUUUACUACACCGUAUUCUGUGAGUUGCGAACGGGUGAGUAACGCGUAGGUAACCUGCCUGGUAGCGGGGGAUAACUAUUGGAAACGAUAGCUAAUACCGUAUAAGAACAUUUACUGCAUGGUAGAUGUUUAAAAGGUGCAAGAGCAUCACUACCAGAUGGACCUGCGUUGUAUUAGCUAGUUGGUGAGGUAACGGCUCACCAAGGCAACGAUACAUAGCCGACCUGAGAGGGUGAUCGGCCACACUGGGACUGAGACACGGCCCAGACUCCUACGGGAGGCAGCAGUAGGGAAUCUUCGGCAAUGGGGGGAACCCUGACCGAGCAACGCCGCGUGAGUGAAGAAGGUUUUCGGAUCGUAAAGCUCUGUUGUUAAGGAAGAACGUGUGUGAGAGUGGAAAGUUC
RNAcentral lists this ribosomal RNA (461 nucleotides) under Streptococcus constellatus. RNAcentral describes it as "bacterial SSU rRNA". It matches the Rfam family "Bacterial small subunit ribosomal RNA", at positions 28 to 465 of the family's 1533-position model. The record is from RNAcentral. Lineage: Bacteria; Bacillati; Bacillota; Bacilli; Lactobacillales; Streptococcaceae.